This 337-nucleotide unclassified non-coding RNA is filed under the name soil metagenome. Its description in RNAcentral is "partial contains 5.8S ribosomal RNA, internal transcribed spacer 2, and large subunit ribosomal RNA". The stretch from base 1 to 120 matches the Rfam family "5.8S ribosomal RNA", at positions 35 to 154 of the family's 154-position model. The record is from RNAcentral.
GAUGAAGAACGUAGUGAAAUGCGAUAAGUAGUGUGAAUUGCAGAAUUCAGUGAAUCAUCGAAUCUUUGAACGCACAUUGCGCCCCUUGGUAUUCCAUGGGGCAUGCCUGUUCGAGCGUCAUUUGUACCCUCAAGCUUUGCUUGGUGUUGGGUGUUUGUCCCGCGUUGCGCGUGGACUCGCCUUAAAGCGAUUGGCAGCCGGCAUAUUGGCCUUGGAGCGCAGCACAUUUUGCGCUUCUAGUCAUGAAUGUUGGCGUCCAUUAAGCCUAUACAUUUGCUCUUGACCUCGGAUCAGGUAGGGAUACCCGCUGAACUUAAGCAUAUCAAUAAGCGGAGGA